RNAcentral lists this long non-coding RNA (1066 nucleotides) under Mytilus galloprovincialis (Mediterranean mussel). Lineage: Eukaryota; Metazoa; Mollusca; Bivalvia; Mytilida; Mytilidae. The record is from RNAcentral.
UUAUUUUUGUAAACUUAUAAAAUUUUGAUCAUAUUGCUCCGAAAUCAACAUUUAAAGUUCACUUUGAGCAUCUAUACCAUUUUUGUAUAAAAUUGUACAGUACAUUUGUAAGUAAUAGAUAUCCAAUAUUUUAUAGGCAAUUCAACUCUCACACUUGCAUAAUUUUAAUACACAUAUCACAGUUUAAUUUCAAAUUGGUUGGAUCUACUAGCACAAACACAGGGUUUAUAAUUCAAGAACACAAUUAUAUGUUUCAUACUUGAAAUAUUUUACAAUAAACUGAAUAUUCUGAGUUGGGAUUUUAAAACUUUGAAUGUGUAGAAUGUUAAAAUUUUCAAUAUAACUAUAAAUCUGAAUGAAAUGAAAUUAUAAGAAAGGUAAGGUAAAAGUUCACGUAUGAUCAUGAUGUUAAAACCACAUUUAUCGAUGUUUUCUUAAAAUUUGCUUUAAUGUUUUUGUUUGAUCAUUUUCAAUCUGAAGCAAGAUGACUGGGAAUACUUUUUCUUAACCCAGUCCAGUGAAAACACAAUGGCAUCAUUGAUGUUGCGAAGAAAAUAGCACUAAACAGAUUAUCUUUGGUCUUUGAACUCUAGGAAGUUCCUUUGCUUCAUUUCAUGUGAGAUUUCAACCUAUGAUGAGAUUGUUUUCAAAAAACAGAUAGUCUAUAAAUAACUUAAGAAAAGGAAGAAUGUAAUUUGCAGCAACAAUGACCAACAGAUAGUCUAUAAAUAACUUAAGUAAAGGAAGAAUGUAAUUUGCAGCAACAAUGAACAUAGGACACAAUCUAACAAGUAAAGUUAACAUAUCAAAAUGGAAAAAAAUGGUUUAAUAACAUAACAAUAAAUAAACUAGCUGCCAAACCAUAGCAUUUUUGUAUCUUUUUUUGUGAUAUGUGCAAAGCAAAUAUUUUUACAUUCCUCAACAUUGGUCAGAGUAAAAAUGCUUAAUAAUAAAAAAGUUCCAAUGAACCUGAAUCUUUAAGUGAAGAUCACUUUGUUGAAAGUACUUUUAAUAUUAUCAAGUCUUAUGAUACAUGUAAUAUCAAAUUCAAAAUGUUGGAUAUUAG